UCUGUGGUCUGUUUGUUAUGAUUUCCAUUCUUUUGCAUUUGCUGAGGAGUGUUUUUUAAUUCCAAUUAUGUGGUCAAUAGCUAGGAGCUGAACCCAAGAAGACUGUAUCUGGAGUAUCUUACACCAUACUGCUGGUCCUAGAGUUGGAAGACCUAGGCUCCUGCCUUACUCCUUCACUGACUUGCAGAACAAGGUAAGAGAGAUGUUACCAGGCUUCACCCACUGAAUGGUAUUUUUGUGAGGAGUGUCUAGCAUCUUAUCUGAGGGUCUCAAUUGAUCUUCUUUUCUUGAUACAUUCCAUUUUUCUUGGUUCUUUUUUGUUGGGAAAUUUUGGAUUUACCCUGGACUUUAUGAACAUCAAGCUGUGCAGAUUAUUGAUUUUAUUGCUUCUCUAACAAGUGGUUUUCUUUGGCUUAUGCAAC
RNAcentral lists this long non-coding RNA (422 nucleotides) under Pan troglodytes (chimpanzee). RNAcentral's name for it is "long non-coding RNA NONPTRT016340". The record is from RNAcentral. Lineage: Eukaryota; Metazoa; Chordata; Mammalia; Primates; Hominidae.